RNAcentral lists this ribosomal RNA (695 nucleotides) under uncultured beta proteobacterium. RNAcentral's name for it is "bacterial SSU rRNA". It matches the Rfam family "Bacterial small subunit ribosomal RNA", at positions 62 to 752 of the family's 1533-position model. The record is from RNAcentral. Lineage: Bacteria; Pseudomonadati; Pseudomonadota; Betaproteobacteria.
UCGAACGGCAGCACGGGGGCAACCCUGGUGGCGAGUGGCGAACGGGUGAGUAAUACAUCGGAACGUGUCCUGUAGUGGGGGAUAGCCCGGCGAAAGCCGGAUUAAUACCGCAUACGAUCUACGGAAGAAAGCGGGGGAUCGCAAGACCUCGCGCUAUAGGGGCGGCCGAUGGCAGAUUAGCUAGUUGGUGGGGUAAAGGCCUACCAAGGCGACGAUCUGUAGCUGGUCUGAGAGGACGACCAGCCACACUGGGACUGAGACACGGCCCAGACUCCUACGGGAGGCAGCAGUGGGGAAUUUUGGACAAUGGGGGAAACCCUGAUCCAGCAAUGCCGCGUGUGUGAAGAAGGCCUUCGGGUUGUAAAGCACUUUUGUCCGGAAAGAAAACUUCUGCCCUAAUACGGUGGGAGGAUGACGGUACCGGAAGAAUAAGCACCGGCUAACUACGUGCCAGCAGCCGCGGUAAUACGUAGGGUGCGAGCGUUAAUCGGAAUUACUGGGCGUAAAGCGUGCGCAGGCGGUUCGUUAAGACAGAUGUGAAAUCCCCGGGCUUAACCUGGGAACUGCAUUUGUGACUGGCGAGCUAGAGUAUGGCAGAGGGGGGUAGAAUUCCACGUGUAGCAGUGAAAUGCGUAGAGAUGUGGAGGAAUACCGAUGGCGAAGGCAGCCCCCUGGGCCAAUACUGACGCUCAUGC